Molecule: ribosomal RNA, 492 nt
Filed under: uncultured bacterium
Lineage: Bacteria
Description: partial 16S ribosomal RNA
Rfam family: Bacterial small subunit ribosomal RNA
Source: RNAcentral
AGUGAACGCUGGCGGUAGGCCUAACACAUGCAAGUCGAACGGCAGCACAGUAAGAGCUUGCUCUUACGGGUGGCGAGUGGUGGACGGGUGAGGAAUACAUCGGAAUCUACUUUUUCGUGGGGGAUAACGUAGGGAAACUUACGCUAAUACCGCAUACGACCUACGGGUGAAAACAGGGGAUCUUCGGACCUUGCGCGAUUGAAUGAGCCGAUGUCGGAUUAGCUAGUUGGCGGGGUAAAGGCCCACCAAGGCGACGAUCCGUAGCUGGUCUGAGAGGAUGAUCAGCCACACUGGAACUGAGACACGGUCCAGACUCCUACGGGAGGCAGCAGUGGGGAAUAUUGGACAAUGGGCGCAAGCCUGAUCCAGCCAUACCGCGUGGGUGAAGAAGGCCUUCGGGUUGUAAAGCCCUUUUGUUGGGAAAGAAAAGCAGCAGGUUAAUACCCCGCUGUUCUGACGGUACCCAAAGAAUAAGCACCGGCUAACUUCGUG